This is a long non-coding RNA of Hippocampus zosterae (dwarf seahorse), 768 nucleotides long. RefSeq lists it as uncharacterized. The record is from RefSeq and is a predicted model, not a curated record. The transcript has 2 exons. Lineage: Eukaryota; Metazoa; Chordata; Actinopteri; Syngnathiformes; Syngnathidae.
UUUUUGACUCCUCCAGAGGGGCACUCUUGGUUUAAAGAUGCAGUGGAAUUUCAAUACAUUUCCACUGGACUAACCUUUAGAUUUAAACCAAGAGCACCAUCUUGAGGUGUCAAAAAGUAUCACAGGUGCUUCAUGAAGCUUCGUUUUGCCAUCGUAAAUGUAUGGAGUCGUUUGCAUGUUUUCGGGUGUAAGUCGGUAUGUUUGUGAUCUAAACGAUGAGAUGAAAUGCUUUUAUAUGCUUUUUUUUAAAAACAAAAUAUUCACCAUAGCUUUACCGAUUUAACACGUUUGUCGUUUUUGGUAAUUGCAUUUUUGUGUUUGGUGUCCGACCAAGCAAGUUAACAUGUUUGCGUGUUCAAUCUCAAAGUGAAUUCGAUGGGAUUCCGCCUCGACCUGCUUGAUAAACAGCACAGGCGAAUGGGCAGAAGGCCAAAAAUCUCAUGUUCUUGCCCCUCCACGCCCCAGGAAGACGUAAACUACAAUAGCUUGAGGUUUCAAUCACAGCCUUUCUUUUGCUGAAAGGUGAUCCCCCAAGGGAAAUUCCAAGUAGCAAAUACCGGUCCCGCAAGUGGGUACAGUUGAAACUCAAAAAGUCCCGCGGAAGCCGGUGCCUCCGCGUUCUUGAAACGUGGUCAGUUUGCAAAAUCGUCGUCGUUCAUAACCAGGACCAUACUGAAUGUAACCUUUUUUUGUGACAGACAAAUCACUAAUGUCAUGAAAAUCAAAUAAAUGUUUGAAUAAAGGCUUCCUGCACUGUUUCUGAGAAAA